RNAcentral lists this ribosomal RNA (301 nucleotides) under uncultured bacterium. RNAcentral's name for it is "partial 16S ribosomal RNA". It matches the Rfam family "Bacterial small subunit ribosomal RNA", at positions 509 to 807 of the family's 1533-position model. The record is from RNAcentral.
CAGCCGCCGCGGUAAUACGUAGGUGGCAAGCGUUGUCCGGAAUUAUUGGGCGUAAAGGGCUCGCAGGCGGUUUCUUAAGUCUGAUGUGAAAGCCCCCGGCUCAACCGGGGAGGGUCAUUGGAAACUGGGAAACUUGAGUGCAGAGGAGGAGAGUGGAAUUCCACGUGUAGCGGUGAAAUGCGUAGAGAUGUGGAGGAACACCAGUGGCGAAGGCGACUCUCUGGUCUGUAACUGACGCUGAGGAGCGAAAGCGUGGGGAGCGAACAGGAUUAGAUACCCGAGUAGUCCCUGUCUCUUAUAC